AGAGAUAACGUAGUGUACAGGGGAGCACGCAUGGUCUAUUUAUAGAUUACAUAGAAGGGCAAAAUAGUAAAAUCAUCUGUGGUUCAUGCGCUUGGCGUGAUAGAAGGGCAUGUUGGUAAAUUUGCCUUCACGCGGGAAAUCUCCCGCGUCUCUGGCGAUUCCGCUGAUGAAGGUAGUUCCUCUGGCGGAGGCUGCUUCUCUGGCGAGGAUGACUUCUCUGGCGAGGAUGAACUUCUCUGUCAAGGGUGACUUCUCUGGCAAGGAUGACUCCUCUGACGAGGGUGACCUCUCUGGCGAGGGUGACCUCUCUGGCGAGGGUGACUUCUCUGGCGAG
Molecule: long non-coding RNA, 334 nt
Filed under: Salvia miltiorrhiza (redroot sage)
Lineage: Eukaryota; Viridiplantae; Streptophyta; Magnoliopsida; Lamiales; Lamiaceae
Description: long non-coding RNA (SMIL_LNC010413)
Source: RNAcentral